Phthorimaea operculella (potato tuberworm) is the source of this 72-nucleotide non-coding RNA. The record is from the annotation of a GenBank genome assembly. NCBI's taxonomy places the organism in Eukaryota, Metazoa, Arthropoda, Insecta, Lepidoptera, Gelechiidae.
GCAACUGUGGUUAACGGUAACACGUCUGACCCGGCUUGUCAGAAGACGUGGGUUCAAAUCCCACCAGUGGCG